This 441-nucleotide ribosomal RNA is filed under the name uncultured bacterium. Its description in RNAcentral is "partial 16S ribosomal RNA". It matches the Rfam family "Bacterial small subunit ribosomal RNA", at positions 338 to 795 of the family's 1533-position model. The record is from RNAcentral.
CCUACGGGAGGCAGCAGUGGGGAAUAUUUCACAAUGGGGGGAACCCUGAUGCAGCGACGCCGCGUGAGUGAAGAAGUAUUUCGGUAUGUAAAGCUCUGUCAGCAGGGAAGAAGAAAGACGGUACCUGACCAAGAAGCCCCGGCUAACUACGUGCCAGAAGCCGAGGUAAUACGUGGGGAGCACGCGUUAUCCGGAUUUACUGGGGGUAAAGGGAGCGUAGACGGCAGGGCAAGUCUGGCGUGAAAGGAAGGGGCACAACCCCUGGACUGCUCUGGAAACUGUCCGGAAGGAGUGCAGGGGAGGUAAGUGGAAUUCCUAGUGUAGCGGUGAAAUGCGUAGAUAUUAGGAGGAACACCAGUGGCGAAGGCGGCUUACUGGACUGUAACUGACGUUGAGGCUCGAAAGCGUGGGGAGCAAACAGGAUUAGAUACCCCGGUAGUC